Long non-coding RNA from Canis lupus familiaris (dog), 611 nucleotides. RefSeq lists it as uncharacterized. The record is from RefSeq and is a predicted model, not a curated record. The transcript is spliced from 3 exons. NCBI's taxonomy places the organism in Eukaryota, Metazoa, Chordata, Mammalia, Carnivora, Canidae.
CUAGAAAUGAUCAAAACAAAGAAUUAUCUGAAUAAUCUACCCUAACACCUGGUCAUUCUACUCUACUGUAUGGAAAGAAUUGUCUAUUCAAUGAAUCAAUUACUUCCCAGCUUAAUUUAAUGCACAGGAAACUUUUUCUCUUCCUUUCUAAAUGAUUUUGUCUCUGAAUUUACUCUUGACUAAGAGAAGGACUGCAAAUACCAGAGGCAGGCCACAUUCUAAAUUCCAACGAAGUUGGUAUCAGCAAUGCUUUUGCAGCAGCAACUACUACCACACCAACUUGGGCAGGAGGAGGAAUGUCCACGACACUGGUAAAACUAGGAAAACUCAAGACUGAGACAAACUCAGACAAACUGUCAGUGCUAACAACAGGAAGACUUCAGCGAUGGUUUUAUGACAAUAAUGGAAACUCUACAUUUUCCUUUUGCCCUGGCCUUGCUUACUGCACUGAUGAAGUCAGAGGAGAGACUUCCAGACUUUGAGGAGGAUGGUUCUGACCUAGAGGUGAAAAUAAGGGCAUGGGUUCCUUUCAGUGAGCUGAGAAUUCAGAAAAUUUUGAAGAGAUGCACAUAUACCCAGGGGUGACAAAAGAGCAACCUUGCUUGCAGAGU